This 478-nucleotide long non-coding RNA is filed under the name Gossypium raimondii (Peruvian cotton). RNAcentral's name for it is "long non-coding RNA (GRAI_LNC008758)". Lineage: Eukaryota; Viridiplantae; Streptophyta; Magnoliopsida; Malvales; Malvaceae. The record is from RNAcentral.
GUUAUUCUAGGUGAUUUCUCCGAAACUCCUGAAAAGGUAUUCUUCUUAAACUGGCCUAUCACAUAACGGAUGCUGUAACAUCAUCAAAACUGAGUGGGGCAAGGUAAAUAGAAAACUCUACCCUUUUGAGGCAAUGAAGCAGGAGUAUCCCUGUAGUCCGAUGCAUUAUCAAGAACAUAAGGAAGAUCUAGCAAUCCCAAGAAAGAUACAAUCUGAGGAUUACAGGGAGAACCUACAGAAGGUGAGAAAAUUUUAUUCUAUAUACUUCAAGUAAUAAUUUCACAUAUUAAAGUCAAACUGAAGCCCUCAAGACAAGAGAAUUGCAUAUAGAACUCAUCUCAACCAAUAUUGUGGGUAAAAAACAGGAUAAUUAAAUUAUUUUUUUCUCUAAUAAGUCAUUAAGAAAUCAUGCCAUCAAACUUAAAUUUCAUAUUUUACAUAGAAUAAGGCUCGUAAUCCGCACAAGGGAUUACCGAUG